This 392-nucleotide ribosomal RNA is filed under the name uncultured bacterium. RNAcentral describes it as "partial 16S ribosomal RNA". It matches the Rfam family "Bacterial small subunit ribosomal RNA", at positions 523 to 918 of the family's 1533-position model. The record is from RNAcentral.
AUACGGAGGAUGCGAGCGUUAUCCGGAUUUAUUGGGUUUAAAGGGAGCGUAGGCGGGAGCUUAAGUCAGCGGUUAAAUCGUGGGGCUCAACCCCAUUCUGCCGUUGAUACUGGGUGGCUUGAUUGCGGUCGAGGUUGGCGGAAUUCGUUGUGUAGCGGUGAAAUGCAUAGAUAUGACGAAGAACACCGAUUGCGUAGGCAGCUGACCAGACCGCAAAUGACGCUCAUGCACGAAAGUGCGGGGAUCGAACAGGAUUAGAUACCCUGGUAGUCCGCACAGUAAACGAUGAAUACUUGUUUUCGGCGAUAUAAUGUCGGAGGCAAAGCGAAAGCGAUAAGUAUUCCACCUGGGGAGUACGCCGGCAACGGUGAAACUCAAAGGAAUUGACGGGG